AUUUCUCAUAGCUAUAAAAACUCAGAUAAAGGACAAAGAUCAGAGCAAACGGUGUAAGUUUUUUUUUUCGCUAUGCAGUCUAAACAAACCUAAGGAUUUUUUCUUCUUCUUGAUUUUCCUGCAACAAACAAAAAUACAGACAAUAAACCUUAUAUCAUUGUUUCUACUCGACACAUUGGAAUAUGGGUGUCACUACGUGCUAAUGCUCAAGUAUCAAGUGUAGCAACACGGUUUGCUCGAGAUGCUUUGCGGGUUCUUUUUUUUUUUACUUCUCAAAAUAAUGUCAACAGGAGCAAUACUAAGGUCCUUUGUUAUAUAAAUUCGCUUGAGAUGUUUCUGAUGUAGAUAGUUGUUCGUGCUGAUGGACUUUCAACAUCAGUAGUCGUUAGGAUGGUUGUAGUAAGUGUUGCCAUAUUUUUAUGCAACUAUGUAUGUGUGGUUGGAGUGAAUUCAUCUGGAGCAAUAAAGGCAACAUAUUGUUCGUAAAAUCUUCUAAUAUUUCACAUUCUUUUGUUUCACUAAGAGUACCAAAUGUUCUACUUAUUAUUUAAUCUAAUAUUCUGCAACAUACAUUUGUUUCUACAGGUAAGAAAAGUUACCUCAAGUAUGCAACAAAGAACUUUGCCUUGGCUGUAAAGGAAUAUGUAGCUUCUGAUGAAGGUGUUUUCGAUUGGAACAACAACAUCACUACAAUGUUUGUGGACUAAUCCUUUUUAAAGUCGAGUACUUCUGUAGCAUUACUCCAGUAUGUUGUAACAGCUAAGCUAUCCAAAUCUACACAGAAAUUGCUAAUUUAGUUUAGAAAUGUUGUAACUAAUAGUAAAAAUUGAACGA
Nicotiana tabacum (common tobacco) is the source of this 834-nucleotide non-coding RNA. Lineage: Eukaryota; Viridiplantae; Streptophyta; Magnoliopsida; Solanales; Solanaceae. The record is from RefSeq and is a predicted model, not a curated record.